This 468-nucleotide ribosomal RNA is filed under the name uncultured bacterium. Its description in RNAcentral is "partial 16S ribosomal RNA". It matches the Rfam family "Bacterial small subunit ribosomal RNA", at positions 28 to 507 of the family's 1533-position model. The record is from RNAcentral.
GAUGAACGCUGGCGGCGUGCUUAACACAUGCAAGUCGAACGGAAAGGCCCUGCUUUUGCGGGGCGCUCGUGAGGCGAACGGGUGAGUAAAACGCGUGUAUACUGCCCCUGACUUUGGGAUAACACCAGGAAACAGGGGCUCAUAUCGGAUAGGAGAUACUGCUGCACGGUGGGGGAUGGAAAGUUUCGGCGGUUGGGGCUGGACUCGCGGCUUAUCAGCUUGUUGGUGGGGUAGUGGCUUACCAAGGCUUCGACGGGUAGCCGGCCUGGGAGGGUGACCGGCCACAUUGGGACUGAGGUACGGCCCAGACGCCUACGGGAGGCAACAGGGGAGAGUAUUGCGGAGUAAGCGGGAGCCUGAGACAGCAACGCCGCGUGCGUGAUGACGGCCUUCUAGGUGUAAACCACUGUCGCCUUAGACGAGGCGUGAGUGACGGUAAUUGAUAAGGAAGCACCGGCUAACUACGUG